AUCUUUUACCAAAAAAAUUACUUAUCUGAAAUUAACAUCUUACAGGACAUGCUGUGUUUUAUCUGGAAACCUAACCAUGGAAGAGAAUGAAGCUUGCAUGGAGACAGAGUUCUCCUUUGAGGGGAGUAGCGAACUGUGGGAAGUCUUUGGAAGAAGUAGAACAUUGAUGGGAAUUCAGAGGCGAAGCUUCCCAUGAGCCCCUGGGAAGCCGGAAGCAGGCACAGGUCUCCUUCCUGGAUGCUGGGGCUUUCCAUCUGGCUCAGUGGUAAAGAACCCGAGUACCAGUGAAGAACAUGCAGGAGAUGCGGGUUCCAUCCCUGGGUCGGGAAGAUCCCCUGGAGGAGGAAAUGGCAACCCACUCCAGUAUUCUUGCCUGGAAAAUCCCACAGACAGAGGAGCCUGGCAGGCUACAGUCUAUAGGGUCACAAAGAUCCAGACAGGACUGAGCAUGUUAUGUUAUGUUAUGCUUCUGGAUGCUGAAGAAAUGGUUUCUUCUCAUUCUUGAAUUGAAGAGGAAAAGUAGGCAAGAAUGAUUUCUAAACAAAGCACAAUUUUAAGCAGAGCAUUUAUGUACCUAUGUUCUCCUUCCUUGUUACAGACAGACAACCUUCCUCUGGGAGGGGACUAAAAUCUUACUGUCAAAACAACAGAUAUUGACUGUGAUCUGUUCAUUGCUUUUGGUUUUCAUGAGGAAAAAUAAGAGAUUGUUAUAUGGAAGCCUAAGAGAGGGCCUCAGGCACCAUACAGAGAAUUUUCCAUGAUUGGAGCUAACAUUCCCAAGUACCGACUACUGCCCAGUAAUAUGCUAGCCUUCCUACCAUUACAGUCAGGCUUCCUACAUGCAGCCAGCCUUUUAAGACCCAGCUCUACAAGCUUCCCUGGUGGCUCAGAGGUUAAAGCAUCUGCAAUGCAGGAGACCCAGGUUCAAUCCCUGGGUUGGGAAGAUCCCCUGAAGAAGGAAACGGCAACCCACUGCAGUUCUCUUGCAUGGAAAAUCCUGUGGACAGAGGAGCCUGGUGGGCUACAGUCCAUGAGGUCCCAAAGAGUUGGACCCGGCUAAGUGACUAACACUUUCACUUUUCUGCAAGCCUAGCAGAAAAAGCAAGUUCUCUCAAUGCAUAUCGAAUGUCCAAGGUAAGUACUGCAUAUAAAUGCAGAGAAAGGUUCUGAUAAGUCCUUUCUGUGUGGCAUGCCAGCUGCUGUACCAGUUACCAUCACCGUCAUCAGGGUGAUUGGGUACCAUGGUAAGCAAGCCUGUGGUCAGCAUGUGGCAGUAAACAGUGAGUUGACAACUCCACAUGAGCUCUAUGGACUGGGGAUGAAGAGAUCCCCACACAAGUCAGAGAAGCAGAGCAGGCAAAAUAGUAGAUGCCCACCAAGCCCCUGAACUGAGGAGGAGCAUCUGAGUGAUGCUGUUUUCAUACUAAUGCUUCUGUACCCUUAGUUAUUCUGCACACCAUGAUAUCACACCACACAUAUAGUGUGGUAGAGCUGCCAUAACAAAAUACUGCAGGCUGAGUCACUUAAGCAGGGAUUUAUUUUCUUAUAAUUUGGGAGGCUAGAAGUCUGAGAUGUGGGCGCCAGCAAGGUUGGGUUCUGGCGAGAACCCUCUCCCUGGCUUGCAGAGCUCUGCCUCCUUGCUGUGUGCCCACGUGGCCUUUCCCCAGUGUGUGCACACAAAGAGAGCACCAGUUUCUCUUCCUCUUCUUAUAAGGACUCCAGUCCUAUUAGAUCAGGACUCUACACUUGAUGACCUCACUUAACCUUAAUCUUCCUGAAUGGCCCUGUGUCCAGUACAGUCACAUGGGGGUUAAGGCUUUAAGAUAUGAAUUUGGCAGGGACAUAAUUCAGUCCAUUGCAUCCUGGGAACUAGAUACUUCCCAGAAACUAUAAUCCAUCUCUGUUUCAGAGACAUCUUCUGUUGGAAAAUGAUUACGAGAAAUAUUUGAAAUUCUGAGUAAGUGAAACUCAAAAGGAAAGAACUUGCAUUGUCUCGAUUCUAAGCUCCAGGAGGGCAGGCAGGCACUGCGCUUCAGUAUUGCAGCACGGGGCACAGCAGUUGGCCCUCAGAAACAUGUGGACUGACAAAAGGUGGUCUUUCCUAAAGACGUAAUAAUGUCAGUAGUUUGUGGGCCUUCAUUUGAUCCCUGUUGAGAACACAAGGGAGGGAGGGAGGCCCCUGUUGUCAUUAAGGGCUGACUAGUCUGGAAUCUUUAUGAGGCAGUCAGUUAAUUUUCUGCUGCUCCUUCCCCUGUCUGGUUCUGCUUCUGAAGACACAGCUACUAAUGAUCAGCUCUGGUGGUCUCUCUGCACUGUCCUUAGAGAAAUCAAGUUUUACACAUAUGGUGUGAUAAAAGCAUAUUCAACAAAAUAAAAAUAUCUAUAGAUACACAUGCACAUGUGACCAAUUAGUUUAAUAAUAAUAGCCUCAGAAAAACUCUCAUUCUCAGGCUUUUUAGAAUUUCCUCUUAAAAGCUAGCACAGUUUUUAUCGUGUUGUUCUGGGGCUCAUCUGUUUAUUCUCUUUUCUGGGUUUUGGUUUUCACAUCUAGUCAUAAUUUCAUAGGGGUGGAAAAAUGUCCCCCUCUUCCCUUCUACAGUAGGUUCUUUGGCUGGCCUAAUAUGUAAGUUGACUUAAGGCAGAUGAACAGGAAGAAAACACUUAAUGCUGUAUGGACGGGAAUCCCAUAAAAGUAUGAGACCCAAACUGGCAGCUUUUAUACCUUUUACACACAAAAACAGUAAAAUUUAUAAAGAAUUCACAAAGGAUUUUGGACUUACAGUAGCAAAUUAGUGAAGAUGUAACAAAAUUUGUUUAUAUAGCCUUCCCUGUCCUAAAUUCCCUAUUUCUGGUGAUAAAAAAUAUCUUCUACCUUCCUGGGACAGGGAAGAUAGCUUUGGGAUGAGAGAUUUGUUUCCUGCCUUCAGGGGGACAGAGAAGAGUCAGAGUGUCCUUAAACUGGCUGUUUCUCAAGUAACUGUAGUUCAGAAUAAUCAGUAUGCCACGGUAUAAUGUUUGGGGGUAGCAUAGUCUGCUCCCCUUCGGUUUUUCUGCUGAAUUAAAGUCUCUGUAUUUCCUUAGAUGUUUAAGAAUAAGGAGACCAGAUGUGACUGCUUCAGAAGCGCACCCAUUUCCAUGGAGCACAGGAGGGUGUUCUGGCCUACCCAGGCCUGCAUGGGCCCCAGCGCUGCCCCCAGCUCUGUGGCUCUGGGCUGGCUUAUCUUUCUCAGUCUCUUAAAGUUGUAGGAUGUAUGGAAUGUAUGUAUAGCCCAGUGCCUGUCCACAGUAAAUGCUCUAAAAUAAAAACUGCUAUAACGACCCCUCCCUUU
RNAcentral lists this long non-coding RNA (3329 nucleotides) under Capra hircus (goat). RNAcentral's name for it is "lncRNA (ENSCHIG00000001454.1)". The stretch from base 876 to 943 matches the Rfam family "tRNA". The record is from RNAcentral. Lineage: Eukaryota; Metazoa; Chordata; Mammalia; Artiodactyla; Bovidae.